RNAcentral lists this ribosomal RNA (465 nucleotides) under Vreelandella stevensii. Its description in RNAcentral is "partial 16S ribosomal RNA". It matches the Rfam family "Bacterial small subunit ribosomal RNA", at positions 338 to 795 of the family's 1533-position model. The record is from RNAcentral. Lineage: Bacteria; Pseudomonadati; Pseudomonadota; Gammaproteobacteria; Oceanospirillales; Halomonadaceae.
CCUACGGGUGGCAGCAGUGGGGAAUAUUGGACAAUGGGCGAAAGCCUGAUCCAGCCAUGCCGCGUGUGUGAAGAAGGCCUUCGGGUUGUAAAGCACUUUCAGUGGGGAAGAAAGCCUUGGGGCUAAUACCCUCGAGGAAGGACAUCACCCACAGAAGAAGCACCGGCUAACUCCGUGCCAGCAGCCGCGGUAAUACGGAGGGUGCGAGCGUUAAUCGGAAUUACUGGGCGUAAAGCGCGCGUAGGCGGUCUGAUAAGCCGGUUGGGAAAGCCCCGGGCUCAACCUGGGAACGGCAUCCGGAACUGUCAGGCUAGAGUGCAGGAGAGGAAGGUAGAAUUCCCGGUGUAGCGGUGAAAUGCGUAGAGAUCGGGAGGAAUACCAGUGGCGAAGGCGGCCUUCUGGACUGACACUGACGCUGAGGUGCGAAAGCGUGGGUAGCAAACAGGAUUAGAUACCCCGGUAGUC